AAGGUAAUUAUUCUAAAAUUUAUACUUUUCAAUACUGGACUAAUUUGUGCAUUUACUAGCCAAUAUGCUUAGGUGAGCAUAUCGCCCAUUGGCCACUUGUUUAUUUUAGAAAUCUUCUCACUUGGUAUGAAUUGCCAAUGAUCCCCUUUUGGUGUCUGUUCUUAUCUUUUUAAGCAGAAUAAUGUUAGGGUUGAACAGGAUGCUGAAGUGAGGAAGACUCCCUCUCCCAUUAAACUGCAGACAUCAGCAGAAAGCAGAAUUUCAGUUCCUCUUUAAUUCAGAAGAGGAACAACAAUGGAGGACCAAGGUCAUUAAUAUAAGAAGAGUCUAUUCCUGUCUGUGUUUUGAAGGCAUUGUGUUUCAAAAGUGCAGAAGAAAGUUAAGACUGACUAGGAAUUCUAAGUGAGGAAGAGUCCCUCUCCCAUUCCGCUGCAGCCAUGAGGAGAAUAUUUGUACUUCUUUUUUUUUUUACCUAUGGAACUUCAUCAGGACCCACUUUAACAAGCAGGAGUCUUACAAUAUUUUAAAGGGAUUUGACAAGGGAAGAAGGAAGAAGACCAGUGCUGACCAAGAGAAGAAGAAGAGUCCAUUGCCAAGCUUUGUCCAGCAGCCAAUAUCUGAUAAUGGACGCCUAGAGAAUUCCAUACGGGAGAUCACUCUCAAUGACUUUUUUUCAUAAGUGAGAAAACCUAUGUAUAAACCUUUU
Saccostrea cuccullata (small rock oyster) is the source of this 706-nucleotide long non-coding RNA. RefSeq lists it as uncharacterized. The transcript is spliced from 5 exons. NCBI's taxonomy places the organism in Eukaryota, Metazoa, Mollusca, Bivalvia, Ostreida, Ostreidae. The record is from RefSeq and is a predicted model, not a curated record.